GAUGAACGCUGGCGGCGUGCCUAAUACAUGCAAGUCGAACGCUGGAACUCUAGCUUGCUAGAUUGAAGGAGUGGCGAACGGGUGAGUAAUACAUAAGCAACCUACCCACGAAGACUGGGAUAAUCUCUGGAAACGGGGACUAAUACCGGAUAGGUAAUCGGAAGGCAUCUUCUGAUUAUUAAAGGUCAAAAACACUGGUGGAUGGGCUUAUGGCGCAUUAGUUAGUUGGUGAGGUAACGGCCCACCAAGACGAUGAUGCGUAGCCGGCCUGAGAGGGUGAACGGCCACAUUGGGACUGAGACACGGCCCAGACUCCGACGGGAGGCAGCAGUAGGGAAUGUUAGGCAAUGGGGGAAACCCUGACCGAGCAACGCCGCGUGAGUGAGGACGGCCUUCGGGUUGUAAAGCUCUGUUGUAAGGGAAGAACGGUAGAUAGAGAAUAUCUAAAUGACGGUACCUUACCAGAAAGCCACGGCUAACUACGUG
Molecule: ribosomal RNA, 486 nt
Filed under: uncultured bacterium
Lineage: Bacteria
Description: partial 16S ribosomal RNA
Rfam family: Bacterial small subunit ribosomal RNA
Source: RNAcentral